ACAGGGCGCAGCCAGGACCGGCCCGGGCGGACAGACCGGCCCGCCGGGAGCCCGGGGCGGGGGGUGGAGGGGAUUGCGGUGAUGGAAGCGGGGGAGAACCGGGUUCCCAAAUUACCGGUUUCCCUUUAGACAGCCGCCGUCUGUUGUCGCCCGCUCCUCCUGUCUGCCCCGGGACCGCCUCCGCUCGGGUAUCUGUCCGUCUGCGCCCCCUCCUCCCCGGCAUGUCCGUCUGUCCAGCGCCUCCCGCGCUGUGGCUGUCUCAUAUCCCCCCCAAACCAUCACAACCAAAAUAGGGACAAGCACACACUUCGCUGGCCUGCCGUUUCUGCCUUGGACUGCCGGAUUUCCGGGUGCAUUGUUGCGGUUGGGGUCCCCACCAGGGGAGACAGACAGACAAGGGGAGACAAUCUGUUCACACUCAAGCCACAGCCCCAAAGCCCUCCCGUUCCUUUCCCCGCUCCCUUGGGGUUCUCUUGCCUGUCUUUCUCGAGCCUCUUUCAAGAGACAGGCAGCCCGUGGUCCUUCCAUCCUGUGUCCGGGAAGCUGUCCACAGCUGGGAGGUUCUAACAACUCAUCCCCAACACACACUCCCAACACCCCCCCAUCCAGUAGCUUCAUGUGACCAGGGCUGGGGCGAAUCUCCGAGCAGAGAGAAGAAAUUGAGUGUGUGACAGUGUGAAUGGAUGUGACUAUAGGUGAGCAACAGUCGGUGACAAUGUGCACAUCUGGUAUUUCCUGUGUGAGAGCAAAACUGCAGGACUCAGUGAGUGGUUUCUGUGGUUUGCACUUGUGUAUCUGGGUGUAUGGGAGUGUGUAGCCCUGCUGACUGUGUAGAUAUGAAUGUGUGUGCAGUUGUGAGUCUUGCAUGUGGUCAUCUAUGUGAAACAAUGCCUGUAUAAGUACCCAUGGAUGUGCACGGUUUUGCCUCUAGCCGUGCAUUUCUGGUUCUGUGUGUGUGUGUUUCUGGUUUUUUCGUUUGUUUUUUAGAGAUGGGGUCUGGCUGUGUUGCCCAGGCUAGUCUUAAACUCCUGGGCUCAAGCGAUCCCCGCCGUCUCAGCCUCCCGACUAGUGGGGACUACAGGCAAGCGCCACUACACUCGGCUAAUUUUCCUGUCUCUACACAUAAUACAAAAAUUAGGCCAGGCGCAGUGGCUCAUGCCUGUAAUCCCAGCAAUUUGGGAGGCCAAGGAGGGUGGAUCACCUGAGGUCAGGAGUUCGAGACCAGCCUAGCCAACAUGGUGAAACCCCAUCUCUACUAAAAAUAAAGAAAAAAAAGCCAGGCAUGGUGGUGGGUGCCUGUAAUCCCAGCCACUUGGAAGGCUGAAGCUAAAGAAUUGCUUAAACCCGGGAGGUAGAGGUUGCAGUGAUCCAAGAUCACGUCAUUGCACUCCAGCCUGGGCAACAAGAGUGAAACUCCGUCUCAAACAACAACAACAACAAUAAAAACAAAACGAAAAUUAGCCGGGCAUGGUGGUGCACACCUGGAAUCCCAGCUACUUGGCAGGCUGUGGUGGGAGGAUCAUCAGAGACCAGGAGAUCAAGGCUGCAGUGAGCUGUGAUUACACCACUGUACUCCAGCCUGUACAACAGAGUGAGACUUUGUCUCAAAAGAAAAACAAAAAACAAAAACAAAAAUUUAAAAAACCCCUAAAAACUAUGGAUUUGAACUCUGUUGUCUUUUUUUUUU
RNAcentral lists this long non-coding RNA (1687 nucleotides) under Homo sapiens (human). RNAcentral describes it as "HSALNT0398217". The record is from RNAcentral. Lineage: Eukaryota; Metazoa; Chordata; Mammalia; Primates; Hominidae.